GCAUGUUCGUAGUAGUUAAAGAUGGCCUCUACAUGUAAGCUGUCGCUUAAAGAUGGUCCCGCGUCCUAUUAGCUUGUUGGUGGGGUAACGGCUCACCAAGGCUCCGAUGGGUAGCCGGCCUGAGAGGGUGGUCGGCCACACUGGGACUGAGAUACGGCCCAGACUCCUACGGGAGGCAGCAGUCGAGAGGCUUCGGCAAUGGGGGAAAACCCUGACCGAGCGACGUCGCGUGGGUGAUGAAGAUUCUUGGAUCGUAAAACCCUGUCAGGUGGGAUGAAAUGCCAUUGGAUCAAUACCCCAGUGGUUUGACAGUACCACCAGAGGAAGCUCCGGCUAACUCCGUG
This 344-nucleotide ribosomal RNA is filed under the name uncultured bacterium. RNAcentral's name for it is "bacterial SSU rRNA". It matches the Rfam family "Bacterial small subunit ribosomal RNA", at positions 186 to 507 of the family's 1533-position model. The record is from RNAcentral.